Long non-coding RNA from Medicago truncatula (barrel medic), 964 nucleotides. RefSeq lists it as uncharacterized. Lineage: Eukaryota; Viridiplantae; Streptophyta; Magnoliopsida; Fabales; Fabaceae. The transcript is spliced from 4 exons. The record is from RefSeq and is a predicted model, not a curated record.
AUUGAGUUAUGAUUUCAAUUUAUCAUUAUUAUUUAGUGAGUUCUUGGUUGAUUUUGAAUUUGAAUAUCAAUGAUUGGGAUUGAAUUUGAGUAGUGAUGCAUUUGAUAUUACUCUUUUAUCUCUUUUUCUCUUUUUGUUGCAAUGCUUAAGUUUUAGCCAAGUUUUAGGUUUCAAGACUUUAUAUUUACAUGAUUCCACUUAUAGACCAAUGUAGUUUAGUUGGACUCAAUUAGAUUGAAACAUUUUCUAUUUCAUAGGCUGAUGUAGUCCACUUAUUUCUGAUCAUUUACAGUUCAAGAAAGAGGAAGAGAAAUAAGAAGCAAAAGGGAUGUAGGAUUGGCUGUUUUGAAAGUAAUAAUAGAAAAGAGUGAGAUCCCAUUUGAAAGAGGGCUUUAACGCACUCAAAGACAAAUAUAAAUGUAAGGUUUCUAUUCCUUUUUCCAUCUAAGAUUAAUGCAUAAGAAAGUAUUCAUGAAUUCAUUCUAGGGAGAGUAACAUAGUGGAGGACAAUAGGUUAUAGCUGAGAUGAAUUAUGUUUACAAAAGAAUCAGAAUUUGUUUUUCUCUCUUUAUGUCUCUAAUAAACUUGUUUUUUAUUCUAUGAUAAUUGCUGAUGUGAGGAAAAGGUUUGAUGCUUGGAGUUGAACUUGUCACUGGCUGUGAACUUAAAAUGCCAGCCAAAGAUGAAACACCACAGGUGAUGGACCAAAUAAAAGGUUAUGGAAUUGUAUUCAGAAAUCAGCUCCCUUAUGUUUUACCAAAGAUGUUUCCUAAUGGAUGCUAUGGAGUGCACAUUAUCUAGAAUUUAACCUGUGAAGCUUAAAUAAGAUGCAAGUGUAAAUAAAUGACAACUUAUUUUAUGAUAAGUUAAACUCUAUUAGAAUAUUAUGUAUUGACUCAAGCAAGUAAAGUUUAUAAAUUUUAAAUGCUUGCUUAGACCAAUAUAGUUUAAAAUUGCUAUUGUG